GAUGAACGCUGGCGGCGUGCUUAACACAUGCAAGUCGAACGGAAAGGCCCAAACUUGCUUGUGUACUCGAGUGGCGAACGGGUGAGUAACACGUGGGUGAUCUGCUCUGCACUUCGGGGUAAGCCUGGGAAACUGGGUCUAAUACCGUAUAGGACCACAUUUUGGAUGGUGUGGUGGAAAGUUUUUCGGUGUGGGAUGAGUUCGCGGCCUAUCGGCGUGUUGGUGGGGGAAUGGCCUACCAAGCCGUCGACGGGUAGUCGGCCGGAGAGGGUGGACGGCGACAUUGGGACUGAGGGAAGGCCCCGAUGCCUACGGGAGGCAGAAGGGGGGAAUAUUGCACCAUGGGCGCCGGCUUGAUGAAGCGAGGCCGCGGGGGGGAUGACGGCCUUCGGGUUGUAAAAACCUUUCGCGAGGGACGACGCGUUAUGUGACGGUACCUGGAGAAGAAGCACCGGCUAACUACGUG
RNAcentral lists this ribosomal RNA (466 nucleotides) under uncultured bacterium. Its description in RNAcentral is "partial 16S ribosomal RNA". It matches the Rfam family "Bacterial small subunit ribosomal RNA", at positions 28 to 507 of the family's 1533-position model. The record is from RNAcentral.